UACGUGGGGGGCAAGCGUUGUUCGGAAUUACUGGGCGUAAAGGGCGCGUAGGCGGCCUACUAAGUCGGACGUGAAAUCCCUCGGCUCAACCGAGGAACUGCGUCCGAUACUGGCAGGCUGGAAUCCGGGAGAGGGAUGUGGAAUUCCAGGUGUAGCGGUGAAAUGCGUAGAUAUCUGGAGGAACACCGGUGGCGAAGGCGGCAGCCUGGGCCGGUAUUGACGCUGAGGCGCGAAAGCUAGGGGAGCAAACGGG
RNAcentral lists this ribosomal RNA (253 nucleotides) under uncultured bacterium. Its description in RNAcentral is "partial 16S ribosomal RNA". It matches the Rfam family "Bacterial small subunit ribosomal RNA", at positions 524 to 776 of the family's 1533-position model. The record is from RNAcentral.